UUUCUUCAGUUUAAAUUAUCCAACUCAGUUUGGAUUAUCGACGUACAGGGGGUGACCACUAUCACGUUAACUAUUUGAAUUUAAUUUUGACCAGAAAUAUCUAAAACUAGAAAUGGCGCGGCCGCGGCCGACGCGUAUCCACACGCCGCAGCAAAAUUCCAAAUAGUGCACUGUCGCACACAUGCUCAUAGCUACCAUUUGUUUAAGUUUCCAGGUUUUAGUGCUAAAAGUGUAGGAGGAGAUAGUUGCCAGGACGGACGGACGGCGGAGAUAACCACAUAGUCGUCCCGCUACAAUUCGGAGCGUGGGGAUAAUGUAGAUAUUCGGCAAUAUUAUUAUGGCUGCGCUGCUCGUCCCAGGCAUGCUGUUCCCUUGUGAGGCGCAUGACACAGUGGAAAUGCAUUUUGGAGGUACUGAGAACCACAACGAAAUGGAUAAUGCCCUUCUGGUACAAACUGUGGGAUGGACUGCUUGUCUGACAUGUGCGGGCGAAACGAGGUACAGUCUAAUGAGAACAGCUGCUCGAGGGCUGGGGUUUGGAAGAAUGAGCUCAGCUCAGUCAUGCUAAUCACGUGCAGUGACGGGGAAAUAAGAGGC
Molecule: long non-coding RNA, 597 nt
Organism: Dreissena polymorpha
Lineage: Eukaryota; Metazoa; Mollusca; Bivalvia; Myida; Dreissenidae
Exons: 3
Source: RefSeq, a predicted model, not a curated record